Molecule: long non-coding RNA, 566 nt
Filed under: Phoenix dactylifera (date palm)
Lineage: Eukaryota; Viridiplantae; Streptophyta; Magnoliopsida; Arecales; Arecaceae
Description: long non-coding RNA (PDAC_LNC018140)
Source: RNAcentral
AUCAAAACAUAGUAGAAUACAUAUGUUGAGGGGGAGAAUCUGAAUUUUAAUCAAGCAAAAUCAUUAAUGACAUAUAAGCCAAACAAUUGAUUGUAUAAUAUGAAGGCUUAUAUAAUUCCAAAUGAAAGGGGGAGCUUUGACUCCGAAAUUUAUUGUUUCACUCCUUUCAAGCUUGGAUAAAUUGAACUACCAGACAUUUGAAUUCAUUUAUGAAUUUUAUUUCAUUGUUUAUUGUGCAAUUCACUUUACACAUACUCAAUGUUUUGUCAUCAUCAAAAAGGGGGAGAUUGUGGAGUGAUUGAUUAACGAGUCGACUCCCGAAGUGUGCGAGUCGACUCCGAGGUUCACCGAGUCGACUCCAGGGUAGUAAGAGUCGACUCCAAGAGGAAUACAAAGAAAAAGUCAGAGAGCAGUUUUCGGGUCUGAGAUUCGAGUCGACUCCAGUGGAACGCGAGUCGACUCCGAUGGUUGGCAGGUCGACUCCAAAGACAGCAAGAGUCGACUCUCAGCAGUACACAAAGAAAAAGUCAGAGGGCAGAUUCUGGACUCUGAGAUUCGAGUCGACU